RNAcentral lists this long non-coding RNA (220 nucleotides) under Ananas comosus (pineapple). Its description in RNAcentral is "long non-coding RNA (ACOM_LNC010795)". The record is from RNAcentral. Lineage: Eukaryota; Viridiplantae; Streptophyta; Magnoliopsida; Poales; Bromeliaceae.
AAAAAAAGCCCCCUAACCGCUCUUUUACUUCUUUCUUUUCUCCAAUUUUUUUACUCUGUGUUUUUUACUCUUUAUUUUUUUUUGUUUCAUUUCUGCCUAAAAAUUUUUUAUGGAACAAUAUUUCCAUCGUCGUCAUCAUCAGCGAUAUUAAUCCUUUACAAACGUGGCACGAGUGAGUAUUUUCCAAAUCCCUUCUCCAAUCAUAGUCGACAACCCAGUU